AUACGUAGGUGACAAGCGUUAUCCGGAUUUACUGGGCGUAAAGGGCGUGUAGGCGGUCUUGCAAGUCAGAAGUGAAAUUCCUGAGCUCAACUCGGGCGCUGCUUCUGAAACUGCAGGACUUGAGUGCUGGAGGGGAUAGCGGAAUUCCUAGUGGAGCGGUAAAAUGCGCAGAUAUUAGGAAGAACACCGGUGGCGAAGGCGGCUAUCUGGACAGUAACUGACGCUGAGGCGCGAAAGCGUGGGGAGCAAACAGGAUUAGAUCCCCUGGUAGUCCACGCCGUAAACGAUGAAUACUAGGUGUGGGAGGUAUCGACUCCUUCCGUGCCGGAGUUAACGCAAUAAGUACCCCGCCUGGGGAGUACGGCCGCAAGGCUUAAACUCAAAUGAAUUGACGGGG
RNAcentral lists this ribosomal RNA (397 nucleotides) under uncultured bacterium. Its description in RNAcentral is "partial 16S ribosomal RNA". It matches the Rfam family "Bacterial small subunit ribosomal RNA", at positions 523 to 918 of the family's 1533-position model. The record is from RNAcentral.